Molecule: ribosomal RNA, 301 nt
Filed under: uncultured bacterium
Lineage: Bacteria
Description: partial 16S ribosomal RNA
Rfam family: Bacterial small subunit ribosomal RNA
Source: RNAcentral
CAGUCGCCGCGGUAACACAGAGGGUGCAAGCGUUAAUCGGAAUUACUGGGCGUAAAGCGCGCGUAGGUGGUUUGUUAAGUUGGAUGUGAAAGCCCCGGGCUCAACCUGGGAACUGCAUCCAAAACUGGCAAGCUAGAGUACGGUAGAGGGUGGUGGAAUUUCCUGUGUAGCGGUGAAAUGCGUAGAUAUAGGAAGGAACACCAGUGGCGAAGGCGACCACCUGGACUGAUACUGACACUGAGGUGCGAAAGCGUGGGGAGCAAACAGGAUUAGAGAUCCCGCGUAGUCCCUGUCUCUUAUA